Molecule: non-coding RNA, 135 nt
Organism: Triticum aestivum (bread wheat)
Lineage: Eukaryota; Viridiplantae; Streptophyta; Magnoliopsida; Poales; Poaceae
Source: Rfam
UUUGUACUCCCUCUGUCCCAAAAUUCUUGUCUUAAAUUUGUCUAAAUACGGAUGUAUCUAGUUACAUUUUAGUGUUAGAUACAUCUAUAUCUAAACAAAUGUAAGACAAGAAUUUUGGGACGGAGGGAAUACUAC